GAUUAUCAACUUCCGGUCUAUACUGGAUGAUAGUUUUUUUAAAGUCAUAUAUAAUAUUUCUUGAUUGGGAGGAAAUAUAAUUUUAUCAUCAUAGUUAACAGAUCUUCAAGAGUAAAAAAAAAAAGCCAUCUUAGUUUAAGGAUUAGUUUAUAGUGAAAUUGUAAUUUUUAAGAAAGCUGGGCAUUCUAUAAAAACCUUCAAGAACUUAUUAAAAAUUGGUAUUUUUUAAUUCUCUAGAACCACAUAGUAGAAUGAAUAACUUGCUAAUUUUAUUCUUAAAAACCUCAUGUUUAUGUUUUUUGAUUUGUGUUUGUAUAUUUAAACACUUUGUGCGACUUUCAGCUACUCUGGGCAGUUGAAAAGUAGAAAGUCAUACAUGAUACCUGAAAAUGAGUUUCAUCACAAAGACCCCCCUCCGAGGAAUGCAGUUGCCAGUGUGCAAAAUGGGCCUGGUGGUGGGCCUUCUUCAUCAUCAAUAGGAAGUGCAUCUAAAUCGGAUGAAAGCAGUACUGAGGAGACUGAUAAAUCAAGGGAGAGAUCUCAGUGUGGUGUGAAAGCUGUUAAUAAAGCUUCUAGUACCACACCUAAAGGGAAUUCAAGCAAUGGAAAUAGUGGCUCUAACAGCAACAAAGCUGUUAAAGAAAAUGACAAAGAAAAAGGGAAAGAAAAAGAAAAAGAGAAAAAAGAAA
RNAcentral lists this small RNA (689 nucleotides) under Pan troglodytes (chimpanzee). Its description in RNAcentral is "retained intron". The record is from RNAcentral. Lineage: Eukaryota; Metazoa; Chordata; Mammalia; Primates; Hominidae.